Molecule: ribosomal RNA, 312 nt
Filed under: Triticum aestivum (bread wheat)
Lineage: Eukaryota; Viridiplantae; Streptophyta; Magnoliopsida; Poales; Poaceae
Description: partial small subunit ribosomal RNA
Source: RNAcentral
AAGAAGACCUUUUGUCUCCAGGCUGACAUCCAGAAGAAGAUGUAUGAGGCACAUGUCAAUGAGAAGCUUGCAUGGCGUCGCCAAAUUGCAAUGAUGAGGCACCUCAACAUGCCGGUUCAGAGUGGCUCUGAGAAGAGCAUCACCCCAGAGGAGCAUUGGAUUUCUACCCAUAGCACCUGGACUGAUGAUGAAGACCCUCCCCAGCCAUCCUCCUUGUUUGCAGCAGCUGACAAUGUCAUGGAAGAAUCUGAUCACGACGACGAUGACGACUCUGAUGAUGAGGAUCCAGAUGCGACCGAUGGGUCAGAGGAG